RNAcentral lists this ribosomal RNA (440 nucleotides) under uncultured bacterium. RNAcentral's name for it is "partial 16S ribosomal RNA". It matches the Rfam family "Bacterial small subunit ribosomal RNA", at positions 338 to 795 of the family's 1533-position model. The record is from RNAcentral.
CCUACGGGUGGCAGCAGUGGGGGAUAUUGCACAAUGGGGGAAACCCUGAUGCAGCGACGCCGCGUGUGGGAAGACGGUCCUCUGGAUUGUAAACCACUGUCCCCAGGGACGAAGAUCACGGUACCUGGGGAGGAAGCUCCGGCUAACUACGUGCCAGCAGCUGCGGUAAUACGUAGGGAGCGAGCGUUGUCCGGAAUUACUGGGUGUAAAGGGAGCGUAGGCGGGUAUGCAAGUUAGGUGUCAAAACUACCGGCUCAACUGGUAGUCGCACUCAAAACUGGAGCUCUUGAGUGAAGUAGAGGCAGGCGGAAUGCCUAGUGUAGCGGUGAAAUGCGUAGAUAUUAGGAGGAACACCAGUGGCGAAGGCGGCCUGCUGGGCUUUUACUGACGCUGAGGCUCGAAAGUGUGGGGAGCAAACAGGACUAGAUACCCUUGUAGUC